Non-coding RNA from Pelobates cultripes (western spadefoot toad), 3868 nucleotides. Lineage: Eukaryota; Metazoa; Chordata; Amphibia; Anura; Pelobatidae. The record is from the annotation of a GenBank genome assembly.
GUUUAUUUAAAAAAGGGUUAAUCCUAGAGGGACCUGGCACCCAGACCACUUCAUUAAGCUGAAGUGGUCUGGGUGCCUAGAGUGGUCCUUUAAAGCCAGAUCUGUAACAUUGCAGCCACACAGGAGUGAGAAUCCACAGGCCAGGCGUAUGUCACACAGUCCGUAAAAGCUACUGUGACAUGGAAUUGUAAAUGUGACUUCUGUCAUUAGGUCAUCACCAUAUCAAACUCCAAGCCCACAAAGCCCCAAAUCCCGUGCUGGAUUUCAGCCAUUGUUAAACCCUGCUCUGUGAGAUGUUACUGAACAAUGUCACAUAUGAAUGUAUUCAGCACUUCCUUCCAGUGCCAGAAUGAUUAACAACAAGUGCAAAUCUAGUUACAUUGCUAAGUUACAGACACUGAGGGUUAUGUAUUAAAGCUGUGGCACCAUGGAAAUUAAAUUAAUGAGUUGUUCCUCACUAUUGCAACAUUUUAAUAAAACAUAUCAUACUAUAUUGUGGAGUAGAUACCCUUCGACCCAUGAUUACAUAUGCAAAUAGAGUCUCGAAGAUAAACUUAAAUUGCUGCAAUGCGUGUUUUUCUUCUCGCUCUGGAAGAUGCUCUAUAGGAACAUUCAGCAAAAUUAUCUUUUUUUCUCAUUGUGUCCGAGACAGGUCUAAGUAGCCUUGUGGCCUUUCAAUGUAUCAUUGGCAAGAUUCUUCCUUUCACACGAAGAUGGGAGACUUUGUUGAGUGUAAUGAAAGGUCUCUGUUCCUGGUAACUUGUACAGCAUGGAUUACAGGGUAUACUGGAGAUAUCUUGCUCAUUCUUUAAAACAAAAUGGUCCACUUGGUUAAUAUUCCUCUAUUUGUGACAUGAGAAGAUAUUGAUGUUAAUCCCCAGAUCCAUCCAACUCACCUAGAGUCUAUUUUGGACCUAGGUUCAUGAAAGACUCUAAAUCCUUUUAUUUCUUUUUUUAAUCCAAAUUUCAGAUUUUUCUUUUAAUAAUUUGACACAUAUUAAUGGAUGUCAUGUUUCUCAGGUAAUAGAAUUAAGUCCAUAUUAUUGUCCUCAUUAUUAGUUUAUAAUUAUACAGCUUUUCCAGCACCAGGUGGAAGUAAAGGUUAUAACAGGCUGACAAAUACAUAGACUAGGAUACCUAAUCUUGCAACCGUAUAUGUUUGGCAACUACAUUUCCCAUAAUGCUCAUACACCCUUUGGUGUACAUAAACUUCUACGGUGUCAAGGUUAGCUGUCAUUAGCCGUGAGCAUCCCUGUUAUAAGCUUACGUUUUCAACAGUUAAUAGUUAUCCCAACGAAUAUCAUGUGUGCCGUUAAAUUCCAAAAAUAUAAUGGUCCGAAAAACGCUAAUGAUAUAUUCAGGAAGUAAAAAAACAUUAACUAUUACAGUUCUGAAGUUUACUAUUUAUUGAGUUAUUUACUGAAGUGAAAAUUCAAAUUUAAGUUUAAAAUUGCCAAACUGGAAACAUUUCUGAGCUGUGCUUUCCGUUUGGUUAUUUUGGCAUUAUAUUUCAAAUCACUUUGAAUAACGGUUUUAAUGUUUGAUCACCCAGUCUUAUUAACCAUCAAUAAGCAAUUCCAUAGGUGUUGAUCCUCUCAAUUAUUAGUGCUUGUUUUGUAUCUGUACUCAAGAAACAGACAAACAAAUUGCACAAGUCUACAGUACGAGUGUUGUGUGGGAGAAAUAGUGUGUGUUGUUAUUUUGAUACAAUACAAACAGCUGUAAUUAUCCUGUUUUUUUGUUUUUUUUCGUUUUUGAAAUCUUGCUCAAUAUCUUUGGUUAAUGUACUGUAUCUUAGCUCGAAUGGCAUGCGUAAGACAUAAAUCUAUCAUGUCAAAACAUCACAUCUCAAGUUAAUUAGAAACAUUAAAAUCACAUUCACUGUUGCUUGUGGCACAAAACAACAACAUGAGAAGCACUUUGACUACAGUGAAAUACAAAGUGAAUUACUGAUUAGUAAAGUGCUUACUCUGAUAAGUUUCUAAUUCCAAUUUGUUUGUGUAACAUCUCCCCUGUGUAUUACAUUGUCAUGUAAAAUAAGGAGAUUGGAGCAGUAAAUACAGUCUGUGUUCUUUACCAUUUAGUAGUGUUUAUCAGGGCAGUGUCAACACAGGUUCAACUUAAAUCUGUUGUUGGACUACGUUUCCUAUAAAUCUCUGCCAGACAUCGGAAAUCCCAGUUUUAUUGCAUCAAGAAUCCAAAGUUAGGGCUGUAACAUUCAAUGAAUAGGAUAAUCUUAUAUUCUAUAGAUUCAUCUUAAGUUGUCCCGGAAGAACAAUUCCUAUGAUGCUAAGGCAUCAACAAACUUAUUUUUAUGUUAGAAGAUUUGCUUUGCCUCAUGGAACUUGUAGUUCCAACUUCACAUUUUUGUGAACUUCAAGUUCUCUGAAAAGGCAGUGUUUACAGUUCUCAGUCUGCAGGGAUUAGCUACACGGGAACCACUACAUUAAGCUGUGGUGGUACUGGUGACUAUAGUGUCCCUUUAAGGCCAGAGCAGCCCAACUUAAAACUUAGCUGAAUUUUUCCAGUUUGGCUAUUUUGACCUUAAAUUUUAAAUUCACUUUAAAAUCUCACUUUAAAGAAUAACGCUGUACGUGUGGUAACAGUGAUGUUGUUGCGUCACUCUACAGCUUCAACAUAAGUAAAAGUGAAUUCUCACCUGCUAUGAGACAAUAAUCAAUAGUGGAAUGAUCACUAGAGUAAACUUGUCAUGUUUAUAUUAAAUAGCACACUUACAGACUAAUCAGAAUACAGCUAAAUUUCACACUAUGGCUACCGAACAGAAAAUCCAAUGAUGAUAACAUAACAUAACAUAUUUUUUAAGAUUAGGCUGGGCAAACGAUAGAUCCCUUGUAGAACUGCAGCUUCCAUUCCAUUCUAAACGUUGGCAAAGCAUCAUGGCAGUUGAAGUUCUAGAACAUUUGGGAAUCUGCCGUUUACUCAGCUGUGACAAUUAAAAUAGAUGUUAUCAACCAUCCCCCAGCAGUUUUAACCAUUCACUGUUGUCCAGUUUGUACUAAAUUACAUUGAUAAUGCAAAAUUGUUCAUUCUGGAUUAGCAAUGUGGCUGAGAUGUGGUGGUCGCUCGGCACUCUCACACCAGGAGACUCUAGAUAAUCUAACCACUUCAGCAAACUGUGUAGUGAUAUGGUUGAUUACAAUGAUGCCUUAGAUUGAAGCAUUACUAUUUCUUUAAUUCUCAACCCCCCCACCCCCCACACCCCUUCCCCAGUUCAACCCAAGUGUCAGGAUCAUUAAAAUGUCACCAUAAGCGCCACUGUCAUUGCAGCUCAUUGUAGUGGUCGUGGCACAAAGAGUCUUUGGGAACCAUCUCACUGUUUGCAUUGAACCAUUUUUGAGUGGCUUGACAAUUAAAUGAGGGUUCUCCUGUUGCUCUCCGCCAUGUAACUCUGCACCCCAUUGGCUAAUACAGAAGUGGAUUUCCACAUUAGCCCUGCACUGUAGGUAGCAAUGAUAGAUAACAGCACUGGGGUCAUGUUAGACUUUUUACCAUAUAACCACUACAAUGAGCUUAGAGUAUCUCUUUAAAUGUUUAGUCUUUACCACAAUAACUGAACACAUUUAUACUCAUGGCUUUACCUUAAAUUUUAGCUUAUCCAGUGACAGAUUUAUGUAACAAUUUGUGUAUUUAAGUUGUUUAAAAUGCUUCUUCUAAAAGAACAGGCUGUUAGAAAGCAUUAAAGAUGCAGUGAAGAAUCUAAUUUGGUAGAAAAAAAACAAGGAAGAAAGUCUUCGGAGCGAGGAAUCACACUGCAAAUAUCUAUAGUUUCUGGCAGGCACUGUGAAUAUCUUUACUAUUCCCAAUGCUAGAGUAUUAUACUAAGAUAAUCAAAUAUAUGAAUAUAUAU